GGGAGGCAGCAGUGGGGGAAUAUUGCACAAUGGGGGGAAACCCUGAUGCAGCGACGCCGCGUGAGCGAUGAAGGAAUUCGUUUCGUAAAGCUCUGUCCAAGGGGAAGAUAAUGACAGUACCCUUGGAGGAAGCCCCGGCUAAAUACGUGCCAGCAGCCGCGGUAAUACGUAUGGGGCGAGCGUUGUCCGGAAUUAUUGGGCGUAAAGGGUACGUAGGCGGUUAGAUAAGUCAGAUGUAAAAGCGUGGGGCUCAACCCCAUAAAGCAUUUGAAACUGUAUAACUUGAGUAGUGGAGAGGAAAGUGGAAUUCCUAGUGUAGCGGUGAAAUGCGUAGAUAUUAGGAGGAAUACCAGUGGCGAAGGCGACUUUCUGGACACAAACUGACGCUGAGGUACGAAAGCAUGGGAGCAAACAGGAUAGAUACCUGGUAGUCCAUGCCGUAACGAUGAAUGCUAGGUGUCGGGGGUCG
This 469-nucleotide ribosomal RNA is filed under the name uncultured bacterium. Its description in RNAcentral is "bacterial SSU rRNA". It matches the Rfam family "Bacterial small subunit ribosomal RNA", at positions 343 to 832 of the family's 1533-position model. The record is from RNAcentral.